CGGCCGCGGUAUUUUGACCGUGCAAAGGUAGCGCAAUCACUUGUCUUUUAAAUAGAGACCUGUAUGAAUGGCUAAACGAGGGCUUAACUGUCUCCCCUUUCAAGUCAGUGAAAUUGAUCUGCCCGUGCAGAAGCGGGCAUAAUAAUACAAGACGAGAAGACCCUUUGGAGCUUAAGGUACAAAAUUCAACCACGUCAAGCAACUCAAUAAAAAGCAAUAAACCUUAUGGAAUAUGAAAUUUUACCUUCGGUUGGGGCGACCACGGAGGAAAAACAAGCCUCCAAGUGGACUGGGACAAAUUUCCUAAAACCAAGAGAGACAUCUCUAAGCCACAGAACAUCUGACCAAACAUGAUCCGGCCACCAAGACCGAUCAACGAACCAAGUUACCCUAGGGAUAACAGCGCAAUCCUCUCCCAGAGUCCAUAUCGACGAGAGGGUUUACGACCUCGAUGUUGGAUCAGGACAUCCUAAUGGUGCAGCCGCUAUUAAGGGUU
RNAcentral lists this ribosomal RNA (496 nucleotides) under Semilabeo obscurus. RNAcentral's name for it is "partial 16S ribosomal RNA". It matches the Rfam family "Bacterial large subunit ribosomal RNA", at positions 1928 to 2573 of the family's 2925-position model. The record is from RNAcentral. Lineage: Eukaryota; Metazoa; Chordata; Actinopteri; Cypriniformes; Cyprinidae.